This 253-nucleotide ribosomal RNA is filed under the name uncultured bacterium. RNAcentral's name for it is "partial 16S ribosomal RNA". It matches the Rfam family "Bacterial small subunit ribosomal RNA", at positions 524 to 776 of the family's 1533-position model. The record is from RNAcentral.
UACGUAGGGGGCAAGCGUUGUUCGGAUUCACUGGGCGUAAAGGGUGCGUAGGCGGUCGGAUAAGUCUGAUGUGAAAUCUUCGAGCUCAACUCGGAAACUGCAUCGGAAACUAUUCGGCUAGAGGAUUGGAGGGGAGACUGGAAUUCUCGGUGUAGCAGUGAAAUGCGUAGAUAUCGAGAGGAACACCAGUGGCGAAGGCGAGUCUCUGGACAAUUCCUGACGCUGAGGCACGAAAGCUAGGGGAGCAAACAGG